RNAcentral lists this signal recognition particle RNA (298 nucleotides) under Aotus nancymaae (Ma's night monkey). Its description in RNAcentral is "Metazoan signal recognition particle RNA (ENSANAG00000006901.1)". It matches the Rfam family "Metazoan signal recognition particle RNA". Rfam says of the family: The signal recognition particle (SRP) is a universally conserved ribonucleoprotein. It is involved in the co-translational targeting of proteins to membranes. Lineage: Eukaryota; Metazoa; Chordata; Mammalia; Primates; Aotidae. The record is from RNAcentral.
GUGGGCGCGGUGGCGUAUGCCUGUAGCCCCAGCUACUCGGGAAGCUGAGGUGGGAGGAUCGCUUGAGUCCAGGAGUUCUGGGCUGUAGUGCGCUAUGCCAAUCUGAUGUCUGCACUAAGUUUGGCAUCAAUAUGGUGACCUCCCAGAAGCGGGGAACCACCAGGUUGCCUAAGGAGGGGUGAAGCGACCCAGGUAGGAAACGGAGCAGGUCAAAACUCCCGUGCUGAUCAGUAGUGGGAUCAUGCCUAUGAAUAGCCACUGCACUCCAGCCUGGGCAACAUAGCGAGACCCCGUCUCA